GACGAACGCUGGCGGCGUGCUUAACACAUGCAAGUCGAACGGAAAGGCCCUGCUUGCAGGGUACUCGAGUGGCGAACGGGUGAGUAACACGUGGGUGAUCUGCCCUGCACUUCGGGAUAAGCCUGGGAAACUGGGUCUAAUACCGGAUAGGAGCCAUUUUUAGUGUGAUGGUUGGAAAGUUUUUUCGGUGUAGGAUGAGCUCGCGGCCUAUCAGCUUGUUGGUGGGGUAAUGGCCUACCAAGGCGGCGAUGGGUAGCCGGCCUGAGAGGGUGGACGGCCACAUUGGGACUGAGAUACGGCCCAGACUCCUACGGGAGGCAGCAGGGGGGAAUAUUGCACAAUGGGCGCAAGCCUGAUGCAGCGACGCCGCGUGGGGGAUGACGGCCUUCGGGUUGUAAACUCCUUUCGCUAGGGACGAAGCUUUUUGUGACGGUACCUAGAUAAGAAGCACCGGCUAACUACGUG
Molecule: ribosomal RNA, 465 nt
Filed under: uncultured bacterium
Lineage: Bacteria
Description: partial 16S ribosomal RNA
Rfam family: Bacterial small subunit ribosomal RNA
Source: RNAcentral